CCUACGGGGGGCUGCAGUGGGGAAUAUUGGACAAUGGGCGAAAGCCUGAUCCAGCCAUGCCGCGUGUGUGAAGAAGGCCUUCGGGUUGUAAAGCACUUUCAGUGGGGAAGAAAGCCUUGGGGCUAAUACCCUCGAGGAAGGACAUCACCCACAGAAGAAGCACCGGCUAACUCCGUGCCAGCAGCCGCGGUAAUACGGAGGGUGCGAGCGUUAAUCGGAAUUACUGGGCGUAAAGCGCGCGUAGGCGGUCUGAUAAGCCGGUUGUGAAAGCCCCGGGCUCAACCUGGGAACGGCAUCCGGAACUGUCAGGCUAGAGUGCAGGAGAGGAAGGUAGAAGUCCCGGUGUAGCGGUGAAAUGCGUAGAGAUCGGGAGGAAUACCAGUGGCGAAGGCGGCCUUCUGGACUGACACUGACGCUGAGGUGCGAAAGCGUGGGUAGCAAACAGGAUUAGAUACCCUAGUAGUC
Molecule: ribosomal RNA, 465 nt
Filed under: Vreelandella stevensii
Lineage: Bacteria; Pseudomonadati; Pseudomonadota; Gammaproteobacteria; Oceanospirillales; Halomonadaceae
Description: partial 16S ribosomal RNA
Rfam family: Bacterial small subunit ribosomal RNA
Source: RNAcentral